This is a long non-coding RNA of Sinocyclocheilus grahami, 157 nucleotides long. RefSeq lists it as uncharacterized. The transcript has 3 exons. The record is from RefSeq and is a predicted model, not a curated record. NCBI's taxonomy places the organism in Eukaryota, Metazoa, Chordata, Actinopteri, Cypriniformes, Cyprinidae.
GCAUUUCGCUUUAUUAAUAAACAUAUUGAGAAGUUGCUGCUUCAUCUGUGUAAUUUUUGUGCUGAUAAACAAAGGUCACAGUAGAGGCAGGCUGUUAUUGGCAGUUCUGUUGUCCUUCCGUGUUCUUCCAAAGAUUAUCAUAAACUUCAAGACAGUG